This 389-nucleotide ribosomal RNA is filed under the name uncultured Alphaproteobacteria bacterium. RNAcentral describes it as "partial 16S ribosomal RNA". It matches the Rfam family "Bacterial small subunit ribosomal RNA", at positions 69 to 496 of the family's 1533-position model. Lineage: Bacteria; Pseudomonadati; Pseudomonadota; Alphaproteobacteria. The record is from RNAcentral.
CAAGACCUUCGGGUCUAGCGGCGGACGGGUUAGUAACGCGUGGGAACGUACCCUUUUCUAAGGAAUAGCCACUGGAAACGGUGAGUAAUGCCUUAUACGCCCUUCGGGGGAAAGAUUUAUCCGGAGAAGGAUCGGCCCGCGUUAGAUUAGAUAGUUGGNGGGGUAAUGGCCCUACCAAGUCUACGAUCUAUAGCUGGUUUGAGAGGAUGAUCANCCACACUGGGACUGNGACACGGNCCAGACUCCUACGGGAGGCAGCAGUGGGGAAUCUUACACAAUGGGCGCAAGCCCUGAUUUAGCCAUGCCNCCGUGANNGANGAAGGCCCUUACGGUUCNNANAGNUCUUUCNCCUGNGAAGAUUAUGACUGUAGCNGGUAAAGAAACCCCCG